UAGGGAAUCUUCCGCAAUGGACGCAAGCCUGACGGAGCAACGCCGCGUGAGUGAAGAAGGAUUUCGGUUCGUAAAACUCUGUUGUUAGAGAAGAACAGCGCAUAGAGUAACUGUUAUGCGUGUGACGGUAUCUAACCAGAAAGCCACGGCUAACUACGUGCCAGCAGCCGCGGUAAUACGUAGGUGGCAAGCGUUGUCCGGAUUUAUUGGGCGUAAAGCGAGCGCAGGCGGUCAAUUAAGUCUGAUGUGAAAGCCCCCGGCUCAACCGGGGAGGGUCGUUGGAAACUGGUUGACUUGAGUGCAGAAGAGGGGAGUGGAAUUCCAUGUGUAGCGGUGAAAUGCGUAGAUAUAUGGAGGAACACCAGUGGCGAAGGCGACUCUCUGGUCUGUAACUGACGCUGAGGUUCGAAAGCGUGGGUAGCAAACAGG
Molecule: ribosomal RNA, 429 nt
Filed under: Bacteroidota bacterium
Lineage: Bacteria; Pseudomonadati; Bacteroidota
Description: Bacteroidetes bacterium partial 16S ribosomal RNA
Rfam family: Bacterial small subunit ribosomal RNA
Source: RNAcentral